This is a long non-coding RNA of Sarcophilus harrisii (Tasmanian devil), 946 nucleotides long. RefSeq lists it as uncharacterized. The record is from RefSeq and is a predicted model, not a curated record. NCBI's taxonomy places the organism in Eukaryota, Metazoa, Chordata, Mammalia, Dasyuromorphia, Dasyuridae. The transcript has 4 exons.
CAUUCCAUCUCUUCUUCACUUAGCAACGAGGCCCACAGUUCCGUGGCGGGGAGGCCUCUUUUUCGGAUGUUCUCCAUUUGAAGCCAGAGGAAAGUUGUCAGAAAAGUUGGUCAACCAAGAAUCUGCUUCAUAACCAAUAUUCUGAGAAUUGACCCAACCUUUUCUGUAGAAGCUGUCCCUCUAAGGAUCCAAUGGGCCUUUUUGAACCCUGGAUGCUUCAUCUCUUUCAUCAUAGGUUGUCCAAGUAGACCAAAGAACAUACUGAUUGCUUCCUUUUCCUAGAAGUAAUUUUUUAUUGACAGAAUCCAUGCCAAGGAUGAGGAAGUCUUGGCAUCUUUCCCCGAACUUCAAGAGAAUACCAAAAUUCAGCUUUCCUUUUCUUUGGAUCUUGACCCAAAUCCUCCCCAUCUGGGUCAUCAUCUGACAUCAACUAUCCAUCUGCAACUGGAAAAUAGGUCCCUCUUUUGUAGGAUCAGCUGGAGUCCAUUACAGUUUUCUUAUUACUUGAACUCCCAUGUUCUUGUUCUCCUGGUUAAGAAAAUUCAACUGAUACUACCAUGGGCCACAUGAGAUUGUGAUAUAUUAUUAUUUCAGGGCCCUGAUCAUACUCUGGAGCUAUUUUGUCCCUUUACCUAACUUUUCUACUAUUGGAAUAAGAAGCCCUCUAUUACCCCACUGUCUUAUAUUUUUUCAGCAACACUACAAUAUAACAGAAGACUAUUUGCUGACAGGAGUUCCUGGCAUCAAAUGAGGGCAAAGCUGGUCAAUAGACCUCCCUUAGCAGCAAUGUGCAAUUGUGAAUCACCAUGUCUUUCCCACCCUUGGAGACUUCAAAGAACAAAACAAUAGCCAUCUGUGUCUCUUGUCUAAUUAUCAAAAUGCCUUUAACAUCAUUCUUAGUGACAUUAUAUAAGCAUACAAUAAAAAGAAUAUAUGCUACCACUAA